RNAcentral lists this long non-coding RNA (254 nucleotides) under Malus domestica (apple). RNAcentral describes it as "long non-coding RNA (MDOM_LNC008603)". The record is from RNAcentral. Lineage: Eukaryota; Viridiplantae; Streptophyta; Magnoliopsida; Rosales; Rosaceae.
AGUUUAUUUUGAAUAAACACAAGUCCGAAUAAUUUGCAAAAGGUUUCAAAGAAUUCAAGAAAUAUAAGUUGAUGAGUAAGACGUCUAAUGUAUUUACCUCCUUAGAUUUGAUCCAAGGAAAGGUAACACUUUAGAAUAGUUUCCUUGAAAGAUAUCAAGGAAAGAAGCAUCAUAUGAUAAUGCAUUUCUCCAUUAGGAGAAGAACGAACUUGAAUAAGAUUUAGUUCGUUGGAUGUUAUCAAUUACCCAUAUAU